UGGGGAAUUUUGGACAAUGGGGGCAACCCUGAUCCAGCAAUGCCGCGUGAGUGAAGAAGGCUUUCGGGUUGUAAAGCUCUUUCGGUUGGGAAGAAGGAAUUUGUGCUAAUACCACAGAGACUUGACGGUACCAACAUAAGAAGCACCGGCUAACUACGUGCCAGCAGCCGCGGUAAUACGUAGGGUGCAAGCGUUAAUCGGAAUUACUGGGCGUAAAGGGUGCGCAGGCGGUUAGAUAAGUCAGAUGUGAAAGCCCCGGGCUUAACCUGGGAAUUGCGUUUGAAACUAUUUAACUAGAGUGCAGUAGAGGGAGGUGGAAUUCCAUGUGUAGCAGUGAAAUGCGUAGAUAUAUGGAGGAACAUCGAUGGCGAAGGCAGCCUCCUGGACUGACACUGACGCU
RNAcentral lists this ribosomal RNA (400 nucleotides) under uncultured bacterium. Its description in RNAcentral is "bacterial SSU rRNA". It matches the Rfam family "Bacterial small subunit ribosomal RNA", at positions 355 to 747 of the family's 1533-position model. The record is from RNAcentral.